This 379-nucleotide ribosomal RNA is filed under the name uncultured organism. Its description in RNAcentral is "partial 16S ribosomal RNA". It matches the Rfam family "Bacterial small subunit ribosomal RNA", at positions 527 to 896 of the family's 1533-position model. The record is from RNAcentral.
GGAGGGUGCGAGCGUUGUCCGGAAUCACUGGGCGUAAAGGGCGCGUAGGCGGCGCAGUAAGUAGGGGGUGAAAUCUCAUGGCUCAACCGUGAAACGGCCUCCUAAACUGCUGUGCUUGAGCACGGUAGAGGCAGAUGGAAUUCCCGGUGUAGCGGUGGAAUGCGUAGAUAUCGGGAAGAACACCAGUGGCGAAGGCGGUCUGCUGGGCCGUUGCUGACGCUGAGGCGCGACAGCGUGGGGGGAGCAAACAGGAUUAGAUACCCUGGUAGUCCACGCCGUAAACGAUGGGUACUAGGCGUCGGGGGGAGCGACCCCCCCCCUUCGGUGCCGUCGCUAACGCAGUAAGUACCCCCGCCUGGGGAGUACGGCCGCAAGGCUG